Molecule: ribosomal RNA, 710 nt
Filed under: Roseovarius sp.
Lineage: Bacteria; Pseudomonadati; Pseudomonadota; Alphaproteobacteria; Rhodobacterales; Roseobacteraceae
Description: bacterial SSU rRNA
Rfam family: Bacterial small subunit ribosomal RNA
Source: RNAcentral
GCCAGGGGAGCUACACAUGCAGUCGAGCGAGAACUUCGGUUCUAGCGGCGGACGGGUUAGUAACGCGUGGGAACGUGCCCUUCACUACGGAAUAGUCCCGGGAAACUGGGUUUAAUACCGUAUACGCCCUUCGGGGGAAAGAAUUUCGGUGAAGGAUCGGCCCGCGUUAGAUUAGAUAGUUGGUGGGGUAACGGCCUACCAAGUCUACGAUCUAUAGCUGGUUUUAGAGGAUGAUCAGCAACACUGGGACUGAGACACGGCCCAGACUCCUACGGGAGGCAGCAGUGGGGAAUCUUAGACAAUGGGCGCAAGCCUGAUCUAGCCAUGCCGCGUGAGUGAUGAAGGCCUUAGGGUCGUAAAGCUCUUUCGCCAGGGAUGAUAAUGACAGUACCUGGUAAAGAAACCCCGGCUAACUCCGUGCCAGCAGCCGCGGUAAUACGGAGGGGGUUAGCGUUGUUCGGAAUUACUGGGCGUAAAGCGCGCGUAGGCGGAUUGGAAAGUUGGGGGUGAAAUCCCAGGGCUCAACCCUGGAACUGCCUCCAAAACUAUCAGUCUAGAGUUCGAGAGAGGUGAGUGGAACUCCGAGUGUAGAGGUGAAAUUCGUAGAUAUUCGGAAGAACACCAGUGGCGAAGGCGGCUCACUGGCUCGAUACUGACGCUGAGGUGCGAAAGUGUGGGGAGCAAACAGGAUUAGAUACCCUGGUAGUCCA